GGUUGUGAUCAUACCAGCACUAAUGCACCGGAUCCCAUCAGAACUACGCAGUUAAGCGUGCUUGGGCGAGAGUAGUACUAGGAUGGGUGACCCCCUGGGAAGUCCUCGUGUUGCAACCCC
RNAcentral lists this ribosomal RNA (120 nucleotides) under Helianthus annuus (common sunflower). The record is from RNAcentral. Lineage: Eukaryota; Viridiplantae; Streptophyta; Magnoliopsida; Asterales; Asteraceae.